GAUGAACGCUGGCGGCGUGCCUAACACAUGCAAGUCGAGCGAACACACGAGGAGCUUGCUCUGCUGACGUUGGCGGCGGUCGGGUGAGUAACACGUGGAUGACAUACCUCUAUGACUGGGGGAAUUACGGGGGACACGAGCUAAUACCGGAUAAUAUAUUGAACCGCAUGGUGCAAUAGUGAAAGACGGUUUUGCUGUCAGUUAUAGCCGGAUCCGGGCAGCAUUAGCUAGUUGGUAAGGUAGCGGCAUAGCAAGGCAACGACGCGUAGCCGACCUGAGAGAGUGAUCGGCCACACGGGAACUGAGACACGGUCCAGACCCCUACGGGAGGCAGCAGUAGGGAAUCUUCCGCAAUGGGGGAAAGCGUGACGUAGCAACACCGCGUGAGUGAUGAAGGUCUUCGGAUCGUAAAGCUCUGUUAUCAGGAAAGAACAAAUGUGUAAGUAUCCAUGCACGUAUUGACGGUACCUAAAGAGAAAGCCACGGCUAACUUCGUG
Molecule: ribosomal RNA, 497 nt
Filed under: uncultured bacterium
Lineage: Bacteria
Description: partial 16S ribosomal RNA
Rfam family: Bacterial small subunit ribosomal RNA
Source: RNAcentral